UCCAACUUAUCGCUGGCGGUCUCCUGAGAGUGCUUCCUUGCGGAGUGGCAACACAGGACAAGGGUUGCGCUCGUUGCGGGACUUAACCCAACAUCUCACGACACGAGCUGACGACGGCCAUGCAGCACCUGUGUUCAAGUUCUCUUUCGAGCACUCUCACAUCUCUGCAAGAUUCUUGACAUGUCAAGGGUAGGUAAGGUUGUUCGCGUUGCAUCGAAUUAAUCCACAUCAUCCACCGCUUGUGCGGGUCCCCGUCAAUUCCUUUGAGUUUUAACCUUGCGGCCGUACUCCCCAGGCGGGCAACUUCACGCGUUAGCUACGGUACCAAGGAAUCGCUUCCCCAACACCCAGUUGCCAUCGUUUAGGGCGUGGACUAC
This 377-nucleotide unclassified non-coding RNA is filed under the name uncultured Gammaproteobacteria bacterium. Its description in RNAcentral is "contains 16S-23S intergenic spacer region". Lineage: Bacteria; Pseudomonadati; Pseudomonadota; Gammaproteobacteria. The record is from RNAcentral.